Long non-coding RNA from Pocillopora damicornis (cauliflower coral), 272 nucleotides. The record is from RefSeq and is a predicted model, not a curated record. NCBI's taxonomy places the organism in Eukaryota, Metazoa, Cnidaria, Anthozoa, Scleractinia, Pocilloporidae.
GCUAUAAAAGAACACACUGAAAUUGUUUCAAUCAUUGGAUAACAGCAGAGGUGACUAUUGCAGAGGAAAUUGGAAAGCAGAUCCUUUUUUUUAUAAACACUAGCCAUAAAGUUCCUUAACCAUGAAUACAUGCAGGCUUUUAAUUUUGGCAGCAAUCUGUGUUAUAUUCCUGGUGUUAUUUGUUCAAGGAAAGAAUGAAAACGAAGUCAGUGAGUCAGAUGUGGAAUUGCAAGGCCAUAAUCUCCGAGAAAAGAGGAGCUAUAGGUUUUACU